Long non-coding RNA from Strongylocentrotus purpuratus (purple sea urchin), 2144 nucleotides. RefSeq lists it as uncharacterized. The record is from RefSeq and is a predicted model, not a curated record. The transcript has 2 exons. NCBI's taxonomy places the organism in Eukaryota, Metazoa, Echinodermata, Echinoidea, Camarodonta, Strongylocentrotidae.
CACAACGGUUGUUGGUGACGCUUAGUCACUAUCAACAUAAUAAAUUGUUCUUCUUCUCCGGCUUCUUCUCCUAGUUUUUGGAAUUUAUCAUCACAAACAUGAACUACUCACCUCAUAUAAAUACGAAAGUGUUAUCUCUUACAAUGGUGAAGCAUUCGUUCACUUACGAUAGAGUCGAUGGUUCGAGAGUUCGGAAAGUUCUGAUGUUGAUCUCCUGGAUGGAUAUUUCACAGAUUCGAAAUUGAGGAGACAGACAAAGUCUUAUAGAGCAAGGGUUGGGGUUGUUGAAUACUAUGUAUCCAAACGGUAAGACACCGUGUGAAUUUGUUAGAUUUCAAAUAGGUGUGGGAGAAGAUUUUAGACCCAAAUGCGUAAGUGUUAUUUCAUAUAACAAUGAAGUAUUCGUUCACCUACGACAAUUCCAUAAAUUCGAUGGUAAAGUAAAAAUGACUCCUUCAUCGAUAUACCUUACUGAAAAGGGUGCGCUCAAAUUACUCAAUCUACGAGAUAAGGUGGGAGAUAUCGUUACAAGACAUGAGAAAAAUAGUGCCAGAUUUCUGAACAGAGAUGUUGCGAUGUUUUUCAUCUUUGACGGAGUUGUACCGACGACGCAUGCAGACAACCGAAAUACACCACGGUGUUCAUCAUCACAAGCACAGUGUUUGAUAAAAAAAAAAAGGUAUAUAUCCAUGUACGCAACUUCAUCAAAAAGGCAAGCUUCAGCAUGGAUAGGUAUAUACAAACAUAUAGGUGUCAGCUUCGAGACAAUAGAGUUCAGGGAACUCGUCAGCCAAGGAAAUGACCUCAAACAACAAAUGUCUAGAGUAAAGAGCUGCAACCAGGAGGAUGGCUGUUAGAGCUCCAUGUGUUGCAUCGAAGAUAAAAGAUACAACAGAGCCGCUCAUUUCGGAGAAAAGAAAAGAAAAGACAGAGAAACAAGAGAAGACGUCUAGACUUCAAGAAGUCACACAACUACUCACCUCAUACAGUAUGGCUCCUUUACUUUGAAGUCCAUCAUCUCGACCAUGUUCAACACUCAGCUCAACUAGCUUAAAAAACUCUGUGUCCUGACUGCCGGGGAUGGUGUAAAUGUCCUUGCUGAAUUCAGCAGCAUCGGGUGUUCGAGGCCUCUUCAGACCUUUGGGAAAGCUGGGGAGUUUGGGCACUUGAUACGUCAUCGGAAGUCUCCCAGUUCUAACAUCAUCUUUACCUCUAGGGACUGGAAAUCUUACACCAUUGGUCGGACUUUCCCACUGUGUUUUUGACGUUCGACGGUUGUAAAAAUAGAUGAUGUUUCCCCAUCCGAAUACCCGCCAUUCCACCCACCUUUCUUUCAAAAGGAGGCAGAGAAGCACUGAUGCCAGAUCCAGAGCAAGUUGUCUGGCUAUCCGUCGACCAUUCAGAAAUCAUCACCGAAUGACUUCGAAUCCCCCGUAAAAUGUUUUGGUUUAAUUCAUUGUAAAGUGUUUUCUCCUAGAGGGUUAUAUCUUCCUGUUCUUUCUAUAUCGAUGCAAUAAUAAAUUACUCUUCCCUCUGUGUCCAAGUUGUAGCGAGAAGUUAGAGAAAUGUGCACAUUCUGAGGAAGAACGUUACAUUACUGGCACAUGGGUAACGGAAAAGAUUAAGAAGGCAAUGACUUUGGGAUAUCGGAUUAUUAAGACUAUAUAAUUUUAUGAUUCAAAAUACUCUGAACUGAGUGGAUGUCAGCUUCUUUGGUACAACAGAUCUAUUCGUUCAAAAUCUAAGCAAUAUUUUUAUUUCCCAUCCUGGUAUGAUAGAAAUGUUUUGACCAUUUCUGACUUAUUCAACCCACCUCGAUCUUCCUGGCAACAAGCUAUUUGAGGAACUUGUUAUAGAUUUCAAUAUUCCUUCUACAGAUAGAAGAAAGAUUAAUUUCUUGUUGAAGAAUAUCCCAAGAGAAUGGAUGGAGUAAUUUGAUAGUAGUUAUAGCAGUGAGUAUGGGGACGGCCGUAGGUUUUGUACACAAAUAUUUUCGUACUAUUUCUAAUUGACUCGUGUACAUUAACUUUGACAUAGUCUAUUUUCGAGAAAAAAACGGACUUAUAACACGCGUGUCUAUGGGGUUUUGUUGAGGUCUUGACUUUUCGAAUUUAAUUAGGGAUUUGUCAUUUUGGACUUGUAAA